This is a long non-coding RNA of Felis catus (domestic cat), 6189 nucleotides long. RefSeq lists it as uncharacterized. The record is from RefSeq and is a predicted model, not a curated record. Lineage: Eukaryota; Metazoa; Chordata; Mammalia; Carnivora; Felidae. The transcript is spliced from 3 exons.
AGACCAACGCUGCCAGCUCAACAGAGCGGGUGCGGAGGGCCUAGUGAGCUGGGUCCUACCGUCGGGAGCCGAGACACCGACCGCCUCUCUGCCCGCCCCCUUAAGCCCAGGGUUGGACCUGCGCCUGGGCUUUUAGCCCCAUCCCGCGCCCGCCGAGCCAAUAGGCGGCUGAGGUUCCACGCGCGUCACAAUGGGCGUCUGUGACGUCAAGGGGGUCACCUCGCCACGUGACCCCACCCCCGGAAGUCCUUCACGAAAUUCCUCCUCCUGACUCCCGGUACUUUUCAGCGGCCGCCUUCCUCUCAUCCCAUCCCACACGUCCUCCAUCCGUUCAGAAUCCGAUGUCGGUCCCCGGCCCGUCUUUACGCCACCGCGGGAAGAGGAAAACUCCUCGAACCCGCUGUACCAGCGCCAAGCUGCCUGUCCCGGGGCUGCUUCCCCGACGUCCAGGGCGCGGGUUGAGUCGCAACCCGGACGCCAGCUAGAAUUCCCGAAUCCGAGGGGACCUCCGCCUCUGCCUCGCUGGGCUCUGACCACGCCCCUUCCUAAGCCCCGCCCAGGGCUUGCGGGGAGGUUUCCGUGGCGACAGUAAACAACACUCAAGAGCUGCGGGAGCCACACCGCAGCCCUGCUCCCCCAACCCACGCUCCUGCAAAUAAGGUGAUCGAGAAUGACAGCGAAGUUGUUAUGAACUGAAACCGGGACACAUGGGGGCCCAGGUGGGGGCCAGGCCGGGGAGGGCCCGCCUGGGGGUCCAGGACACGUGGGCUGUGGUGCCAGGGUCUGCAACCCCCGGAAGAGGCAGCAGCAACUGGAGAACCAGGGAUUGAGAUCUAAGGGAGCAGACGUGCAGGUGGAGCCGGAUGUUGCGUGGGCCCAGGCAGCAGAGGUGGGAUAAGACACCGGGAGCAAGAGGGACUCGUUCAAGCAAGACCUUGUAGUGUUUUCCUAGGAAGGAGCAGGCAACCUGCACGGGCGGGGGCUCUCCCAGGCUAGGAGUAAGAGCGGCGGACAAGAAAAAAUCCAUAGGCAUGGAAAGAAGCGGGAAGAUAUUACCCAUAAUCAAGGGGAAAAUCUCUCAGGAGAAGCAGAUCGCUAAGUGGCAGAGAUGAGGCAGUUAAUAGACAAAGACACAGAAACAGUUAUAAAUAUCCUCUGUGUACUCAAGAAUGCAGAGGAUCGGGAGUGAAAAAGAAGAUACUUUAAAAAGAAAGACUAGAUGGGAUUUACAGCAGAGUGGAUAUUAGAGAGUAAAGAUCAGAGAAGGCAAAUACAGAGACGGGAGAAAAGAACAUCAAGGACUUGUCGGACAAUAGCAAAUGGUCCAGCGUUCAUGUCACUGAAGUCCCAGAAUGAGAAGAGGCAGGAAAAACUUCAAAGAAUAAUGUCCUGAAAUAUUCUGAAUUUGACAGAAACCAACAGAUCGAGGUUCAGUGAACCUGAAGCACAAGGAAACAUAAAGAAAACCACAUCAAGGCACGUCCGAUUAAUAAUUACUUUAAAUGUAAAUGGCCUAAAGACUGCAAACAAAAGGCAGGUAUUAUCAGACUGGAUAAAAAAGCAAGACCCAAAAUAUGCCCUCUAUAAGAACCACGCUUUAAAUAUAAAGACACGGCUGGUGAAAAGUGCGAGAAUGAAAGAGAUAUACCAGCCAAGCACUCCAUAAUACACACAUGAAGUAGCUGUAUCAGUAUCAGACAGAGAAGUCCGCAAAAGGACUAUUAGCAGGGUGAUAGGGAAACAUUUCAUAAUAUGCUGCAUUCAGGGGAGGACAGGACAUUCCUGAAUAUGCACGCACUUAAAUAACAGGACUUCGAAAUGCGUGAGGCAGAAACUGAUAGAAUUGCCAGGGGAAGUAGACCACCAUUUAUGCGCAUCCUAUUUAGAAUAUAUUUAUAAAUAAUCCACCAUUAUAGUUAGAAAUGUUCCCAUCCCUCUCUCAGUAGUUGAUAACUGUAGAUAAAAUCGGUAGGGACACAGAAGGUUUAGCAAUGCUGUAAACAAUGUUGACCUAAUUACCAUUUUUUAAAAGACUCCACCCAAAAGCAAGAGUUCUCAACGGUUCCUCUUUCUCUGUGGUUCCCUCCCUGGCUGAGGAACAGCAUUCUUACUCUUGCCUGAUUCCCGAGUAAAUCCGCAGGGGACAUGCUUGCGGUGCACGUGAGAACCUACCGUAUUCUGUGCUCCAAUGGAGUGUUUGUGGACCUCCCUGGACAAAAGGCUGACCCGGCGACCCUGUGCCUCCUGAAAGAAGGGGGGAAUCGCAGAGUGGCAGUCUCAGACCAUGCUGGAAAAGCACCCAGCUGAGACAGAUCCAUGCACCACUCUGGGGCUUUGGGAUUUAGUAUCCUGGUUUAACUGGGGAUAUAGAACUGAUAAAAAUACCUUACCGAAAAGGUAAGCCAGGGCCAUGUGGAAAACCAGAUCCUUCGUGAAGGGCUCAGCUGGAGAAAAUCAAACACGUUAUUGAAAAAAAUCAGAAAACAAGCCAUCAUUUUUUCAAAGGGACACUCACUCUGUCAUAUUCCCAUACCUCCAGCAAGGAGGGAAGGUGACCUUGAGAUAGAGGGUUGGCCCCUGUAGGGCUUUGUACCAGAUCUGAGAGAGGUGAAUGAGUUUGUCGUUUCAUUAAGCUCCAUGAUCCCCCUGCAACUUUUCUGACUUUGAUUCUGUCGCCUACAGUUUUUCUCUACAUUCUGCUGUUUUGUUUUUUUUUCUGUUCCUCUAGCUAAUGAGUUCCAAUUCCCAUUUGCUUUUACCUUUGAAGGAGUCCAGUGUUCAGAGCAAAAUGUUCCUCAGGAUUUGGGGGACUCCUACUGUUUUGUCUAGCCCGUUUAGGGAAAUCUGUCUCGCCGAGCGAUCUAUAAUUAUUCGGUAUGGGGAUGAUUUGCUGGUAGCUUCAGAAACUGAAGUGUAACGCAGAAGUGAUACUUGGGCUUCUCGCCAUUCCUCACCUGGCGGGGACAUACGGCCUCACUAGACAAACUGCAAUAUUGCCAAGCUGGGGUCACAUAUUUAGGGAAUUUGUCGUGGAAGUCCACAAAGUGUUAGAAUGCCGGAGUUAGCCAGUUUCUCAGAUGAAAUAGCCAACAGCAACAACAACAACAACAACAACAAAGCAACAAUUUGGGGGACAAGUGACGUACUCUCCACAGUGGAUUCCAGCUUUUUCAAGAGCGGGCAAAUCCUCUGAUGGACCAACCGACUGAUGAUACUCUAGACCCUUGUGUCGGGUCCCUAGAAUCCGCAGGAAGCUUUUGAACCGUUGAAAUUGGUCACGGUCUCUCCCCACGCUGUGAGGAUUCCAAAUUUUGAAACAGCUUUCCACGUGAUUUACCAUGGAAACAAAGACACUGACUGCUGGCAGAAUUGAGCUCUGAAACUGGCAUUUGACUCUAGACCGAUAGCAUUAUUUCUCAGUUCUGGAUGCCUCCACGCCGUGGUGGUAGCAGCCACACUUAUGCAAAAAGCUCAAGCCUUUCUUUGGAUCAUUUGACUUCUGUGUAGGUCCGGGACCGUCUUUUAAGUGCAGAAGCACUGCAGGUGCACGAUCAGACCAGUAAUGUGUCAUCAACAAAAUCAUCUGAGUCAAACAUCUGAGAGGAAUUUUAAAGGCACUAGACUCUUACCAAUGACGACCAAACAGGUGACCUUAUCCAAAACGUAUCAGAGACGUGCUGUCUGUCGGCAGAAUUCUUUUCGGGCCACUGCCAAGGUGAGCACAGGAGACACUUGGUGGCAGUUCAAUUCCAUAGAAUUGACACCUGUGGAAAGUAAGAGAUCUUUGUCUCGUUAUGUCUGCGGGAUUUGCAGGUGACCUGACGUCCGCUGUCAUUCAGGAGGCGUGCAAAUCAUGCUGGGAUCUGCCCUGUCCCCUCAGCCCUGAAGACAAGUGGAGUGGAUGAAUCCAACACUGCAAACUUCAUUUAGAAGUCUAUAGGUGAGGGGAUGCCUGGGUGGCUCAGUCGGUCGAGCGUUUGACUCUUGCUUUUGGCUCAGGUCAUGAUCUCACGGUUCGUGGGAUUGAGCCCCGCAUCAGGCUCUGCUCUCUUUCUGCCCCUCCCCUGUUCGUGCUCUCCCACUCUCUCUCUCUCUCUAAAAAUAAAUAUUAAAAAAAAAAAAAGAUGUCUAUAGGUGAAAAUGGCCUAUAGCACCCCCUCAGAAAGUAUGGUGUCUCUCCCUUUGAACUUAUGAACUUCAGUUUGAUAGGCUGAUGAAUUUGGGUCUGUGCCCAAUUUGGUGAAUCCUCUCAUAAUCAUGUUCAAUACUUAAGAGGGCUGUGAGACCUAAAAUCAUAAGGACCUGGAAGGGCCCAUUGGAGGACAUCGGAGGAGGCCUGCCAUCCUCUGCUGGGGGGAUUUCAUGUACAUAAAGGUGUUCCAGAGGAGGGGUGCCUAGGUGGCUUGGUCAGUUGAGUGACCAACUCUUGAUUUUGGCUCAGGGCAUGAUCCCAGGGGCGUGGGAUCGAGCCCCACAUCGGGCUCUGCGUGGAGCAUGGGACCUGCUUAAGAUUCUCUCUCUCCCCUCUGCUCCUCUCCCCACUCACAUGCACACUCUCUCUAUAAUAUAAAUAAAUAAGCACAUAAGUAAGUAAGUAAAUAAAUAAAUAAAUAAAUGGUAUUCUAGAGGAAAGAUGCCUGCCACCACACUGGGAGGGACCCUUUUACAUGUUUUGAUAUGGUUAUCAAACUGAAAGAAAAAUCCAGUUGGAUUCAGGCUUCUGAUGUGAAGUCAGCAUCUCAGGAGGAAAGGACUGGGGUUCCCACGAGGACUUGAAACAAGUUUUCUAGAAUCACUGACAUUGAUAUUGAGCUCAAUAGAAAAGAGCUUGCUUUUUAUUUUUUUAAGAAAAAGUGAAUAAUUUCUAGUGAAAUUAUUAUUAUUAUCAUAAUAUUUGUUUAAUGAUUCAAUCGAGUAGCAUCUAAUCUAGCAGAUAGGAAGGAGCUCCACAGAGCUGUAUGAAACAGAAGACUUUUAUAAGCAGAAGGGAGCAGGAACAAGAAAGUUCUACCAGGCAGAAAAGCAAGUUGCUCAUUACAAGGUCACUUUCCUUUAGGAGAUUGCCAAGGGUCUAUCAGUAAGGCCUGAUUUCUAGAAGAGCCAAAACUCUAAGUUAAGUCUCAGUUUGUUGACAUGGGCUUAGCAUAAGCAAUUCCAUUUAGGGCCUGUUGUUUUUAACAAGUAAAACGAAAAGAUAUUUUUUCCUCCCUUACGUAACCAAAUAUUUGCUUUAAGUAAAUUAAGCAUAUCGUUGGUACACACAUUUAAAGACUCUUCUUCCUCAAGUCCAUGUUGUACUGAAUUUUCUAAUUUAUCCCAACGUGAUUCUGAUAAUUACUUUGCUUCACAUUUCCCCACACAAUCGCUGAAUAUUUCAGUGGCUGCAAAAUGCCAAGAGAAACAGAAAUGGAGAUCAUUAGAAAUUAUGCUAUUACAAUAAAAUAGUAACAAAAGGGUAAAUAAAAAUAAGGUUGAAUUUCCUUUCCAAAAGGAAUGAGAUCUUUUCUCCUCCUUUUUCUUAGAACAUUUCAGAGAGAAAACUUGUAUUUGUAAAGCAUUCCUGUGGUGCCUGGCUGACUCCGUUGGACGAGUGUGUGAUUCUUGAUCUCAGGGUUGUGGGUUUGAGCCCCGUGUUGGGUGUAGAGAUCACUUAAAUAAAUAAGACUUUUUAAAAAAUAAUAAAAUAAAGAUAGAAAUAAUUCCUCUGUCCUUUUGAUAUGCAUGCAAAUCUUAUCGGAGGUUAAAUAAGCCUCUUAUCAGGAUUAAAACCCAGGAAUAUUUUUCAGCAGGGCCUGAAAGCCAUCUCUUUUCAAUGUCAACAUCAAGGAAGACAAUGCCCCAUCGCCCUGUCACUGUGGGAAUCUAGCUGAGGCAUCUCAACUACCUGCUCGUCGUAGAGAUAGAGGCCAUUAACUCGCAUAGAUGGCCACCCCAAUGACCAGGGGAAUGCAGAGUGAUCUCUGAAAGCACGUAGAGUGAGCAGGACUGUUGAGUCUCCUCACCCGACAAGUGCUCAUACCUGGGAACAUGCAAACAGGGGUUGUGUCUGCUUGGCUUAUAGGGAAGCAGGAUGGGGAGGGUGCCUGGCUGGCUCAGUCGGUAGAGCAUGUGACCCUCGAUUUGUAAGUUCAGGCCCCACAUCGUGGUUGUUUGUUUGUUUUUUAAUUAAAAAUAAAAUCUUUUUUUUUU